Molecule: long non-coding RNA, 3523 nt
Organism: Camelus dromedarius (Arabian camel)
Lineage: Eukaryota; Metazoa; Chordata; Mammalia; Artiodactyla; Camelidae
Exons: 3
Source: RefSeq, a predicted model, not a curated record
UUUAUUAAAAAAAAAAUCCACUAGGUGCUAUUUGCCCCAUUCUUGAUGCAGCAGUGCUGAGGUUAGUUAAUUUGGGCCAUUUAGGAUUCUUAGCUGGGUUUUCUGGACAUUGAUUUCAGCCUCUUUAUCUUUUUUACAAUCUCUUCUUUUAUGUCGGCCUUUGGUCUUUUGACAACGUGGAAAUACUGCACGGAUCUGCCUUUCCCUUCUUUCCUGUCUUUGUGGGAAAAGAUUUCUGAAAGACAAACUACUAGGAUAUUAAGGAUUUUGUGUGGGUUAACAGGAAACAUAACACAGGACUCCAGAUUUAGGGAGAGAAUGCAAACAACUACUAUCAUACUCCAUCCAGUAAGAACAAGUGUCCCUGCGUCACCAAAGCAAUGAGAAUUUGCACAAAGAAAACACAGUUCUCCAAUUGUGACAAAUACGAGACCGUGAGCCAUGAGUUACGAGAACAAGCAACUGUUUAAAUGCCAUGGGCAAAUUUUUUUAUCAUCUUGAAAACAUCACUGAUGUUCUAGGAAGAAAUUCUGGAAGACGACUCCCUGACCUGAAGGGAUGGAUGGAGGAGUAAAGAAAAGAAGACAAGCAUUUUUGGCCCACAAAAAAUGAAAGGUAACCAGAUGGUGGCUAGUUUUCAUUGCACCUCUCUGGCCGCCCCAAUUUCACAUGCCCCUCCCAACUCAACUCAUCAGAAAUCGACUGAAGGAGACAGCUUUGCAAAUUUAUUGGAAGCCAAAGAAUUCGCUCCAGAAACAGUCUCCCAAACCCAGCGAGAACACUGAAAACUGACCAGUGCCAGGAUCUGAAUACUAAAACACACAGAUUCAAACUCCGACACCCUCCCUGGUGGGUGUACUUACCGUGCGGGUGUCGCCGUGAAAUUUGUCAGCAUCCAACAUAUAAAAAUGAAUGGGACACCAGUUUUCAACAUCACAGUCCCUCUGAAACAACUGGUAGUCAAUUAGCGUUUGUCGGCAGCAAAAGUCGAUUUUCUCCCCUGCACGUGGAGGUCAACACACAGAAGAGACUGAUGAUCCCCGCUAUGAGUGUAGCUAAGUGUGUCUAAGCAAACUGGCUCCAUCAGCCUCCUGAUGAGCAGGGCAGUGUGUGAGCCGCGGGGCUCUGCAGACUAAUGGCCAGGCAAGGAGGGCGCUUCCUUACUUUGGGGAGAAAAACGCGGAAGCCGCACUCGCUGUAAAUAAAUUCUAAUUAAAAUUUCAGGUGCAGUUACUGCAGCGUAACCCACGCCAAUAGAUGAGGCUCCCUCCGUGCUGUCCAGUCAUGUGAGCCAGGCUCAUUAUUGUACCUGUGUGUGUGGUUUAGCAAGUGAAACAUGUCUGUUUUCUGGAAAUUACAUGAGGGUGGAAAACCUUCCAAACAUGUUCAUUUAUUUGCUGUGGAAUUUGUUUAAUCCUCUUAAGAACAUUUACAAUGACAAACUUCUUAAAUAAGCAUCUUUGCCCGAGAGAUAUUUCCAGGCACAUGCGCCGAAAACUAGGACAACCCAGAAGCAAAAUCAAAUCCGUUUCAGCUGCACAGCACCACAGAUUGCGUCCAGUUUGCGAGUCAAGGAUUUUUUUCUCCACACCCUUUUACUCUUCUGCCCAAAUUAAUCAUCCUCUGCUUCUCUUGUAUAGUGAGUAUCGUAUGACUCAUCUUCUCUGCCUGUAAAAUGGAAAUGGGAGAUAAUUCUACCCAAUAAAAUGUCAUAGAACUAACCACCAAAAUUAUAUAUAUUAAAAAAAAAAAAGCCAGGGUUUUAUGCUGUCCAGGGAUAUGAAUCAUUUAUUUAAUGUGUCAAUUGUUACAAGAAUAAACUUUUCUAAAUGUAAAACCUCCUCAGAAAUCUUCAAGUACUUUUCAAGAAAAAUAUCACAGAAAAUUUCUGAAAAGUAUUUAAAGGAAAAUCAUUUUUAACUGAAUCAUAUUCUAGGCACACUGAAUAAAUUCUCUUUAGAGAACUCCUACUUUUUUUUUUAAUAAAUGACCUAUAAAAAUACACCCAGCAUUAAUCAGUAAAUCUUCAUUCCUUAUUUUUAAAAUCCUUAAGGCAUGCUAUUUUUCUUAAAUCAAAUGAGGAGGUAUUCUCAAGCCAAUGGACAACGGAAUUACCUAAGAGGACAUUGUAAAGCAGCAAGAGCAACUAGCAUAUUGCCAAGCAUUCUGCCUGAGAGUCACUCGUACCAUCUCAUUUUGACCUGACCGCUUGGAGGUGAGCUCCAUCAGCCCAUUUAACACAUGAAGAAACUGAGGCUCUGGGUGGUCAUGUUUCCAGUACUUGAUGGAGCCAGGAUCCAAACCCGGAUCUUUGUCUAUAGAGCCUGUGCCUUUACCAGAUCACACUUAACAUUUCUCAUUCUUCAAAUGCACUCAGUCCCCGAGGUAACACACCUUCCUUGCGUUUCUGAGAGUUUUAGGAAGUACUGAAUUACAAGGACUAAGCAGUCAUUUGUGUGGGAUAAUUUUUUAUUUUCUGAUUUUCCUGAAUCAGCUCAGGCUGAAUUCAUACUACUUACGAGGAGAAGUCCUGAGGCAGAGGAGAGAGGGGAAGAUAAGCCAGACAUAAACAAUUUCAAGAGAUCCAAUUCAUCAAGGAAGCAAAGUAUUAAAUAAACCACUUCAGCUACAUGCUUGUCAAUAAACCUUGGUGUCUCUGUCUCAGCCUGAAGGAGGGUAAACCCUCCAGCCCAUCUGCCUUCCAGCCACUUACCCUGGAUGAUCUUGGUUCCCUGACCUGUGACACGUGUGUUCUCCAGGGAAUCUUUGUAGCGAUUAAACGAUAAAACUAUAUGCAAAGGGGAUACUUAUUUGUUAGACAGUAGGCACUAAACAAAUAAUAAAAUUAUUUUAUUUCAUGAAAAUGGGAGGUAGGUCUCCCAAUUAAACUUUCCUGAUAGAAUCCCAACAAGGACAUUAAUUUAUCUGCCAGAAAUUGUAAAAUAACUUUUCUUUUUUAAAGGCUGUAUCCAUUCUCCCUACUUUUUACCAAUCCUGGCUGUUAUCCUGAAAAUCUAUUCCCAGAACUUGGCAUCCAUCUCCCAUAUUUAAAUCCUUAAAGUUUGAAAUUAUGAUGAAGCUUGGGCACAUAAAGAUUCACACCAUAAUUCACAGAAUAAACAAAGACCACAGGAACAGGGCCACCUCCAGAACCCAUGUGCUCAGGACAGGCUCCAAACUUCAUAAAAUCAGAUGUAUGCUGUUUGAACAGAAAGAAAAUUGAAUGUGAUCAAGGAGGCUGACAUAGAGCACUGGCUGGCUCACGAGACGACUCCUUCACCCCUCAUCUGAAUUAACUCAUCUAACAGUUAUCAGUUGAGCUCUAAUUAAAAGUAAAACAGGGGUAGGGUUGGAAAGUAACAUUUUUUCCUACAAUAUAUACAUAUUGUCAACUAAAAAUUGGCACUUGUCAUCUGCCUCUGAUUUGAUUAAGUCAUGAGCCACUUCAGCUGCUGACCUUGAACACCCUCUGAAAGUAGUUCAGGGUGGAGAUCAGGAAUGGGGCGCUCUGUGCUCUGGGAAA